This is a non-coding RNA of Phalacrocorax carbo (great cormorant), 2981 nucleotides long. The record is from RefSeq and is a predicted model, not a curated record. Lineage: Eukaryota; Metazoa; Chordata; Aves; Suliformes; Phalacrocoracidae.
UGGCCAUCCAUUGAUGCUGGCUCCUGACAGUGGGACCGUCUGUGCAAAGUCCAAAAAAACAAGUGCCCACAGAAAUUAUCUGUGGAAGGGUUGGUCCAGAGCUCCUUGAAAAGUGGCACCACUGGAGGAUUGCUUAUUGAUUUUGGUGACACAUUUAACAAAGGUGACAUGCGCAUGGAGCGCAGUUGUCAUGCUGCACUGUGCCAGCCCCCCGCUGACCAACUCCUGAGAGCCCCAGCAGGAAUUCCGAAUGAGCCAGACAAGAAUGGCCAAAAUGGGAUGUUUAGAAGCUGUCCCCGAUCUUGAAGGGCUACGUGGUCAGAUGAGGGAGUAGGGCAGAGCCUGUGCAAUUGUCCCAGCCAGUGCGAGUCGUACUACACAGUUCCCACCGUGGAAAUAGAGGAGCCCAGCGUGGGCUUAGAAAGAGGAAACAUGGGACCUGUCCCGAAGAGCACUCAGCCGUAUCCCACGCAGCAUGUGAGGCUAGCAGUGAGGAGAUGGAGCGCUGGAAGGCAUGGUCUGAGCUGCAUGGCCACACCUGAUGCGGGCCCCUUGCACACACCUGGACUGCUCAGCUGGGAGUUCCAAGAUAAUGGUGGAGCUUUGCCAUCAGCAGGAUGAGGGUUGGCUCAGCCAUGACUUCAGCUGUCUCUAUUGCCAUGCUCGUUGCUCUGAGUCUGCCCUCCAGCCCCACUGAGCUCGGGAAGUUCUCCGUUACGUUCCAGCCAACUCGAAGAAGAGAUACACAGUAUGGGCAAAAGGAGACCCUCGCAGCCACUCCGGCUCCUGGGCCAGUGGCUCCCAUAGAUUGUUAUGCCACGUCCUGCUCCGACAGCAUUUGCUGCUUUGAGCUUUAAUCUGAUUCUAGCACUAGCGACUACUUCGUGGUUUUCCAGCGGGCUGUGGGUUUGCCAGAUUUGUGCAAGCAUGCUGCUCCUCUUUUGGUCAGCUGGAGUGCUGGUUUUGGCCACAGCAACCAGCGUCUGUCAGGAGCUGGUAUCAGAACCUACAAUAAGCUGCGGAGAGCGAGAUGGAUCACAGUGGCUUCCUGGUGGGUGCAAAUCUGCACUGUUAUUUCUGUUGCACGCAGUACUGGGCUCUGUGUCACAUUUCUCAUCUUCAUGUGGAAUUUGUCUGGGCAGCUGCCGUUCCCGGAAGACAACUUCAAAUGAAUGACUGUUUUUCAUAUUACACAACAUGAUUCCAGAUACCCCAGUGCAGAUGCACUAGCCAGAUUCCAAGAAUCAAUCACCAAAUUGCACCAUCUCCUUCUGGAGCAAGCUACCAGUGGAGAAACUGAAAACAGCUUUUUUCUUUUUUUUUUUUUAGCUAUACUGAAACUUCACAGUCGAUUUUAAGCCUCUUAGACAGUAUAAUACUGAAUGCAAGUUCCUGCUGAGGGCUAUUGACUUCACUAUGUGCCAAGCUGCAGGGAACACCCCGUGCCAUGCCUGCAUGUGACAGAGUGCUUCCCUGCACCAGCAGUGUGACUCAGAUCAGAGACCAGCUUCCUGGGAUUUCCCAUCAGCAUCCUUUAAGAUUGCCAUCCGCAGAAGGGAUCUGUGCAGCCACAAGGUGAAAUGCACCAGGAAACAGCAUCAUCUUCAAAACACACAAAGGGAUUAGCACAGUCUGAAAACAGCAACAUGCUGCCCUCUGUUCAGGGGUGGAGAUGGGCUGCCUGCUGGGGCCCUGGGGAUGGAGAAGGCCAGCCUUCAGAUGUAGCUUUCCCAGGUCAGGUGUGCUUGUAAGUGCACACAGUGACAAAGUAAUUUUGCACAUUCUUGCAGUGUAAAUCCUAACCUGACUUCUCGCAGAGCUUCUGCUCUCAUGCUGCCACGGUGCUAGAGAAUGUCUGCAUGGUGGAAUGCAAGGACAUAUCUUAAAUAUUUGUAAUUAAUUAAGAGCAGUGGUGUUUUGGUGCUGUAGGACCCCACCAAGGCCACUGGUUAUUCACAGCCCCUGUAUGUUAGAGCAAGCAGGCAGCAUUCAGUGCUGCAACCAUGCUUUGGCAGCACUGGUGACUGAUGUCCUGUGCAUGCAGUGUCAGAGUAAGAUGCAAAAUUGCUGGUUAUGAGGUCCAUAUUGUCCCCAACCUGCCCUGAGCUUUUGUCCCUUCUUGCACCUACCUUCUUCCACUGCUGCUGCAGUAUGUCAGAGUCCCAUAAAAGCUCCUAAUAUAUGGAACUCAUGGGACACAUUGUAGGUCUUCUUAAAGCAUCCAGAUGGGUUCCCUAUUAGCCAAGCCCUUUCCUACAGCUCUCCCAACUACUAACACAAGGAGUACAAGUCAGAGAAUCCAAGAUGAUUUUUCCUUGGUACCAGGUAGAAGAGUUGCUCAGUGGGCAAUAUUGGACAGGCCACCAGAGCAGCUCCUGGAGGUGACCCACUCGGUGCUGUUCCUGUUGUCAGUUCAAGCAGUGCCUCUGCUUUGUCACACACUUCCAGUUCUGCUGCACACAGCUCUCUGAAGUGAUCGAGCAGUCACAAAUCCUCCAUCUUUUUAUCAUGCAGUGAUUCCCCAUCACCAUUAUUUUAAUAUAAAUUCCACUUCAAAAAAGAAGAGGCCAAUACUGAGCUGCAAUGGAUGCUCAGCUAGUAUUUCCCUUUCCUUUCUCUAUCAGAUCAUCCUGUUUAGUGGCAGAGCAUGGUAAUCAGCCAAAUACCAUGUUAGAAGCAUGGUUUUAACAAGGGUAGCUCUGCCCAGCCCACUUCCACAUGCUAAACAAGAACAUAGUGAGCGAAAGGGGCCCCAGCUCUAAUUUGGAAAUGCUCCCCUAUUUCUGGAGUUUGUUAACACAAUAUCAAAAUUAGGACUACAACAUUUUCCAUUCCUUUCUUUCAUUCUGAAUUAAAGACCGUCUACUGAAGACUCUCACUUCAAAAAACCAGCCAGGCACUUUCUAAUAUCAAGCAAAAUGCCUGAAGAAUAAAUUGCUCCUAUCAGAAAUAAAGCAUUUUAGUUCUGCCACAAGCAGAGA